RNAcentral lists this ribosomal RNA (674 nucleotides) under uncultured Actinobacillus sp. Its description in RNAcentral is "bacterial SSU rRNA". It matches the Rfam family "Bacterial small subunit ribosomal RNA", at positions 99 to 768 of the family's 1533-position model. Lineage: Bacteria; Pseudomonadati; Pseudomonadota; Gammaproteobacteria; Pasteurellales; Pasteurellaceae. The record is from RNAcentral.
CGGACGGGUGAGUAAUGCUUGGGAAUCUGGCUUAUGGAGGGGGAUAACUACGGGAAACUGUAGCUAAUACCGCGUAAUAUCUUCGGAUUAAAGGGUGGGACUUUCGGGCCACCUGCCAUAAGAUGAGGCCAAGUGGGAUUAGGUAGUUGGUGGGGUGAAGGCCUACCAAGCCGACGAUCUCUAGCUGGUCUGAGAGGAUGACCAGCCACACUGGAACUGAGACACGGUCCAGACUCCUACGGGAGGCAGCAGUGGGGAAUAUUGCACAAUGGGGGGAACCCUGAUGCAGCCAUGCCGCGUGAAUGAAGAAGGCCUUCGGGUUGUAAAGUUCUUUCGGUGAUGAGGAAGGUGUUUGUUUUAAUAGAGCAAGCAAUUGACGUUAGUCACAGAAGAAGCACCGGCUAACUCCGUGCCAGCAGCCGCGGUAAUACGGAGGGUGCGAGCGUUAAUCGGAAUGACUGGGCGUAAAGGGCACGCAGGCGGUGACUUAAGUGAGAUGUGAAAGCCCCGAGCUUAACUUGGGAAUUGCAUUUCAUACUGGGUCGCUAGAGUAUUUUAGGGAGGGGUAGAAUUCCACGUGUAGCGGUGAAAUGCGUAGAGAUGUGGAGGAAUACCGAAGGCGAAGGCAGCCCCUUGGGAAUAUACUGACGCUUCAUGUGCGAAAGCGUGGGGGA